Pseudopipra pipra is the source of this 2924-nucleotide long non-coding RNA. RefSeq lists it as uncharacterized. The transcript is spliced from 3 exons. NCBI's taxonomy places the organism in Eukaryota, Metazoa, Chordata, Aves, Passeriformes, Pipridae. The record is from RefSeq and is a predicted model, not a curated record.
UCGCGCCGCGGCGGCGGGACGGCGCGCGCGCCGGGGCCGGGCCCGGGCGGCGGCGGGAGCAGCGCGAGCAGCGCGAGGCAGGCGCGCGACAGCAGCCGCAGCAGCAGCGCGAGCCACCGCUCCGCGCGCGACAGCGCCAUGGCACCGGCCGCACCGCUGCGCGCGCCGCGCCCCGCCCCCGGGGCCGCGCGGAAGUGACGGCGUCUCCAUGGCGACCGCGCCCCGCCCCGCCCGCGGCCUGUGCGCCGGGCCCGCGACCGGCGCCGCCUGAGACGGGGGGGCCGCGCCGGCCCGUACCUUCCCCCGGGGAGCGUAGCGCUGCCCCGCGGUGGAGCCGGGGGGCACCCACUCUGCCCGUCCCGGGUCGUCCCGCCCCUCCGCUCCGGAAUUACCCCCAAUGGUUUCCAUAUUACCAAAGGCUUAAAAAACCCACAGCGGGUUAGCAAGGACGCGCAGAAAGCUGGAGUGGUUUUGCCGACUGUGUCGGAUGCGUGUUGUAACCGCCAGUUAACCCGAGCUGUGCUGGCGCGAGGGGACAGCGGCGCUCCCGACGUGCGGACUGUGCGGGGACAGCGAAACCCGCCCCGGGAAGGGGCUGCAGUGACAGCCUCACCUGGGCAGGUGCGGCGGCAGCCUGCGGGGUGCUGAGCCCGGCACCUCUGGGUGCAUCCCGGAGGUUCUGGGGCUGAUCCCGGCACCAUUGGGCACAUCCCUGGAGCACUGGGGCCGAGCCCAGCACCGCCGGGUGCACCCGCAGUGCCCUUGGGCUGCCCUGCUGGUCUGUGGAGGAGACACUUCCCUUUCCUGCAGAGGUUGUCUGUCCACAUCCAAAAACCUGUCCUCAGGGUCAGGCUGUGCACACAAACAUGCUUGUGGGGUGUUACCGACCUAUGGGGCAUUAACACCGAUCAGUUUAAAGUUGACACCUAAUUAUAACGUUCUUCUGCGUUUUAAACACCAAGCCUCAUUCUCAAGCUUUCUAAUAAAAGGCAACCAUUAUCACACUUAUUGUCAAACAUACACUGAGGUUUUCAGGUGCUUGAUUAUGGAAUCUGGAAGAGACUGGAUAAUACUCAAACCUCAGGACAAAAGUUACAAGAACUGGUAGUGCUGGGGGGGGGGGGGAAAUCCUGUCUUUUAAAGCAAGGAUUUAAGCAGCAUCUGAGUGGGCCUUACUGUAUCUCUUCCCUUCCACAGAGUUGGCGAUUGAAUUAUCAGUGCAAAGUGGGGCAGGCGAGGGGAUACGUUCCUUGUGAAAAUCUUUUACAACUGCAAAAUCAACACAUCAGCAUUUAUGGGACAAUCUACAGCUAACACGCCCUGGGAGGGCAUCGACUGACCUCUGUCCCCUAAAACCUAAGCUUAUAUGGAAGUCAUCCUGAUAGCAGUUCUAUUUUCACAAACUCUUAUCAAAGAACUUUUCUCCUUGCUUGAUGCAAAUGGAGGAAAGGAAAGAAGAGAAGGGAAGGGGAAAAGCCGCUUUCCUGCUUGGGGUUAGUUUCCUGUACCCUGGGAAAGCACGGACAGCAGCUUUGUCUGCCUGGGUUUGGUCACCAGGUCAUCAGCCUGAGGGGCUCCCAGCUGUAAAAGGUUGGGGUGUCCUGUGCUCUCUCAAGGACAAGGGAAACUCUUGUCCUCUGCUGAUUUUAAUUCCUCAGUGUCUUCGUUUCCCUUGGCAGGUUGUCCCUGACCACAGACACCAGCCAGCCCGGGGGCAGGUCCCAGCAGUGCUGUGCUUGAUGGCUGAUGGUGCACAGGUGGCUUAACAGCUGCUUUUCCACUGCUCUGAAACUGCUGGAAUGCCUAUGACCUUACCAAGGCCCUUAGCUCACAGAGGCCCAGAGUCCCCUGCUGAGGAGCAGUGGUAAGUCAGGGUUUGCCAAAUCUCGGGCAGUGUUGGUGGUUGCAUCUUCGGCUUUGCCAGGCCCAGAGCCAGGCAUGGCAAGGCUCCCUUGGAACUCAGAGGUAAGUCAGGUGUCCUGCAGGUUUCUUCCAGAGCUAGAAUGGUAAAACUCCUCUCAAUGGAGAAGGGAGAGGACAGCCCUCCCAAAUGUAAUCCCAGCACUGCUUUUGUCAGUUUUUUCCUCCAUUUCUCAGUGGAUUUGCUGGUACUUCCCCCUCAAGUCCUUUCCAAAUGUUGGCAGAGAGGGGUAUGAACCAAGCCACUUCUGUCCUGGGUCUCUGCUUCCUUGGUGCUCUGCAGAGACCUUCCCUAAACUCUGGCGUUUAUUUUCCGAGGAAAGUGUCUCCCUUAAUCUUUGUCUUUCAGGGUUUAAAGAACAGGGCUUUGAAAUUCACACCGGAUCAGCUGCUAGUGGGCUAGAAGGUGCUCUAAAAAUAAAGCAAUAAGGUCCGGAAGCCUGAGGUUGAAGUGAUUGGCACUGCUUUUCAGUUACCAGCUGACAGAGCUGACACCACCCUGGCUAAGAAACCAGUUAAUUCCAAACUGAUUGCCAAGAGCAUGGGGGCUGGAAAUGCAGAGUAAAGCUCACCCAUCCAGACCUGUCCCACUGCCUUAUCCUAAGGGACACCAGCUGCUUAGAAGAAAAACACGAUCCCAGGUCUUACACUCCGGAAAUUAUCCCCAGUCAUUUCAUCAUUACUGAAGGCUUAAGAAACCAGAAGCAGUUAGCAAGGACAGACAGAAAGCUGGAGUGGUUUUGCCGACUGUGUGGAUGCGUGUUGUAACCACUAAUUGCCUGGGAAGCCACGGAACAGGCUCGGCAGCAGAGCAUGAGGCGAGUGGGAAGAAGAGCCACAGUCUGGCUGCCUUCACGGUGCUCUCCAAAGCUCUCUUGGAUCUUGUCACCACUGGACAAGAAACACCUUUCAUGAAAUUAAAAGAAGAGAAAGAGCCUGACAGCACAAUUCUUUGUGAAAGGAGCCCUUUGAAACUUCUCCUUAAAAUAAAGCUUCAGAAGAAA